AACAAACUCAAAAUUAGGGUUUCAAAAACACAAAUCAAAUAAAAACAACAAAACGAGAGAUUUCUGCAACUCAAUAUCGAUUCACAGCUGAUAGAUUGUAGUGAAGGAGGUGGACAUCCGCGUUCUAACAACCCUAAUUUCCUCAUUUUUCAACUUCUUAUCCUCAAUUGCCGCUCCUAUCGAUUCAUCUUCGCUGAUUUACACAACGACGUUCGAUUUCCGAUCUUGAUAGGUUUAUGUUGAAUCUCUGCAAUAUAUAUGAAUAAUUGCAUUGAGAAAUGUCGCUUUUGCCAAA
Molecule: long non-coding RNA, 295 nt
Organism: Helianthus annuus (common sunflower)
Lineage: Eukaryota; Viridiplantae; Streptophyta; Magnoliopsida; Asterales; Asteraceae
Exons: 3
Source: RefSeq, a predicted model, not a curated record